GAUUGGAUAAGCUAAUUUAAGCCGUCGGGCUCAUACCCCGAAAAUGAGACACUUCUCUCCAAUCA
This 65-nucleotide transfer RNA is filed under the name Glycera americana (American bloodworm). Its description in RNAcentral is "tRNA-Met". The record is from RNAcentral. Lineage: Eukaryota; Metazoa; Annelida; Polychaeta; Phyllodocida; Glyceridae.